Molecule: long non-coding RNA, 3813 nt
Filed under: Marmota monax (woodchuck)
Lineage: Eukaryota; Metazoa; Chordata; Mammalia; Rodentia; Sciuridae
Source: RNAcentral
GUCGGCUGUGAGGCCUGAAAAGACAAAGCACAGUGUGACCCAUGGCGGGUUGUAGGACCCUCUGUGUUACUGGGCAGUACUUUCCCAUUUGGGGUCAGAGGUCAGGUUAUACCACUCUUCCUCCACAGACAUUUGGUGUCAAAUUAGUAGGAAAUUUUUUUGAAUAAAAGCUGGUUUUAUUCCAAUCCAGGUUUAAAGGAAGAUGGAAGAAACCUUUUGUCUCAAUAUCUCCAUCUUAUUAAAAGCUAAAAAAGACAGUUGGCCUUGAUUCAAAAGGAACAGGAGAGUCCCAAUUGAAUUCCGUUAGUUCCCUUCCUCCAGGAUUGGCUGGCCACAGGUGGUAUUAUAGUCCCUUAUGGCUGUCAUUCAGUUUCUAGCAGCCUUGCCCAGGGACCCUUCCUGGAUCCUGGCUAGCUGAUUUCAGCUGGGCACCUGUAUAAGAAAUAAGAAAUAGGCAAAGGAUGGAAAAAGGAAAAAUGAACUUUUGCACUUUGAUUGGGAGAGAAGCAGCGAUAUUGCUUCUCUACUCUAUAAAUCGGUUAUGAUUGAUAGAAGCAAGAGCCAGGUGAUAUUCAUAUGUAGAUAUAGCCAAGCAGUGUUAAUCAGAAAUGUGACAGUCUUAGCUGCCUUGGUGUCUGUUGAGCCAGAGGAUGUAGCCCUCCAGUCUUUACUCCCAGAGUGAGGAAUUUGUCCUCAGUGUCAGAAGGGCGCUGCAUUAGAGUCUGGUCUGGACUGGAAGGUGAAUGGUCAGCCCAGGUCUCUUGGGGACUGGGCAGUUACUGCCUUGUAGAAGCAUCUGUGACUCUACUCUGCUCCACUGGGCAGGAGGGGUUGGUUGGGAUUCGUGCAUGCAUAUGUGUGUGUGCUCUGCAUGUGAUGGUCCCCUGCCACACUGGGAGGAACCUAGCUAACACACUCCUCCAGAGUUACAUUUGACUACAUCAGUGACUUUGGCUUUCUGGGCAAAUCUGGACUCCUGGGGAAAAAAAAGUUUCUCUCUCCAAGCCUGCUCUAUGGUGCAGGAGGAGACACACAAUUGCCUUUGUUGUUUGUUCUUCCCGUGUGGGGACAAAAGCCCUUUCAGUUGGUGUGGAAUGUACAAGAGUUUUAUGCCAACGGCUGCUGGGUCUUGGCCUGGAAUCCUGCAGAUCAGGCUGAGUAGGGGAGUUGGUUGCUUCAUCCAAAGCUCCCCUGGGUCCUAUCUGCCAUAUCUCCAUGUGGUCAGGGUCUACCACAGGGGCCUCACUGCCCGCUCUGUCUUCUCUGAGUGUAGCUGUGAUCUCCUGUGACAUUCCUGUCCUCAUCAAGUGCUGAGAACCCGUGGCCUGUGCAGGUAGGUGCUGUGCCAGGGUUCAUGACUUCAUUCUACCCUCCUAACUUGGAGUUGCCUGGUGUUAUCUCCACUUUGCCUCUGAGGACACCAUCUUCAGAAGGGCCUGAGGGACAAUGCUGAGUCUAAAGCUGCGGCAAUAAAGGGAGGGGAUGGCUCUGCCCCGGAGCUUGAGCACCACAGGGCCUCAACCGGCAGUGGUCAUGCUGUUAUUGGAAACUUAAAUGAAACAAAAAACACAACUCUGGUGGGAAAAGGGAAGGAGUGGAGGAAGGCCACCAAAAAACUUUCGAGUGGCACAAGUGGCCUUUUCUCUUUGCUGUUUCCAUUCCUGGGUGUUUCCACUGUCCAGGAGCCAGAGACUCACCACAAAGAAAACUGUUGCCAAAAUGUUGCAGGGUUGUGCUGUUUGGGGAGGGAACUUUUCCCAGGUCACUAUUGUUUGCUGUUUUUUUUUUUUUUUUUUACCAGGGUCCCGCAUCUCCUAGGGUGCUGAAGCCAACCACAGAGUUGAACUUCGCUCUAAUUUCAAAAUGUCAACAAGCCUGUGCUACUGGGAAGUGCCCGGGAACAGACCUGCCACCAGCCCCAGGGGAGCCCCAGGUACAGGAAUGAGGGACUAACAAAGGAUCCUGGGAAACCUCUGUGGGCUUGAAAGCAAUUUUAUUAGGUCUAUCCAGGAGCCCAGCAGAUUGCACAAUCGUGCUAUCUUACAAACAAGAGAAGAAGAAAGGAGAGAGGGUUGCUGAGGGGAGAAGGGUGUGGGCAUCAAAUGGGCUUUUAUAUGUGAUCUUGUUUAAACAAGACUCUUAUCAAGGAGUAAUACUAAACUUUGCUCUUUUCUUAUUGCCUCAGCUCCGUGGGGAAUUGGUAUGUGACUUUUGGAUUCCAUGAGGGAGGAUUAAAUUGCCUCCUUCGAGAUAAGAGCCCCAAAUAAGCUGAUAGCAUUGAUAGAAAUGAGGGAGGAUUCCCUUGUGUCCUGACGGACUUUGAUUCUGCUAUCUAGACUCUUGUCUUCUGUGCACAAACUGUACAUCAAGACAGAAGAAAGCUGGUCUUGUGGAAGAGCAGCAUAGAUGGGGUGCCUCCCCUGAGCUGAGCUGUGUGCAGGAGGGGUGGGAUUCCCAGGAAUGAGCCACACCUGGGCCUGCAGGAAUGGUCCAGGUCCUCAGUGGUAAGGCUCAGGACGUUGAUUUUUAAAUGACUAGUAAAUCACCUAACACUCUGUUUAGAGCUCUGGGAAAACUCCCAAGUAAUUGUCAAACAAUUAAGUGUGUAUUUAUGUCCAAGAAGUUCACAGUACCGUGUUAGAAAAUGAAGGGCAAGUCAGGGGUAGGAAGUGGAUACGGGAGAGGCUUGAAGCCCCAGGGCUUAGCUAAGCGACUUGGGCUAGUUUGCUCUCUUGUUCUUUGUUUUCUCACCUAUAAAAUGGAAUCAUUUUCAGGGUGAUCCUGAAGGUACUUGGAACAGAGUAAGACUUUGACCUCUGCCUUUCAGGUGCUUUCAACCUAAAGGGGAAAGCAAAUAAGGUAUGUUUGAAACUAACACCAUCUGACCUGGUUAUUCUGAGAACUGUGAUGUAGAAGUCAGAGGAAGACAAAAACCCUUACUCAGGACUUAGGGUGAUGGGGGAGUGGGAUGUAACUCAGUGAAAGCACAUGCCUAGCAUGUGUGAGGUUCUGGGUUCAAUCCCCAACACUGUAAUUAAAAAUAAUAAUAAUAAAUAAAUAAAUAAAUAAUUUUUUUCAGGUAGGAGGUGAAGAAUUGGGGCCUCAGAAUUGGGUAGGAAUUUAGUAAGUAAGAACAUUCCAGCUGGAAAUAAAUAGCAUGUACAAGGAUAUGAAGGCAGGAAAACGCAAGGCAUACCUGUGGGUUCCAGGUUUCUUCAGUUUGGCUCCAGCUAAGGUCCUUCGCGGGGAACUGUGGGAAAUGAAGUUUGAUACUAGGUGGCUGACUUUUGAGUACCAGCAUUCUUGUAUAUGCAGUAUACAUAUACAGUGGAAGGGUUUUGAAGUGGGGUUUACUUCUCUUGUCUCUCCUAGGGUCAUCUGUGCUUGAAUAUUGAGAAGCCACAACCAUCAGCGGAUCCACAGAGACUCCAUCAGCUUUGGCUUCUUGGGAACUGGUAUUCUGGGGGCAGGGUCUGACCAGCAUGCAACAUAAUCCUUUCUCCAUUUUUUCCACAUUUGGGGCAUUUAAGACCAGCUGUGAAAUGCCCUGAGAAUGGGGAUGUGUUUGGAGAGGCUGCUGUGGGACACCAAAUGGAGCUAAAACUGGUCUGGAACUGCACUGUCCAAUAUGGUAGCCACUAACACUUUUGGUUAUGAAGCACUUGGUCUGUGGCCGCUCCAAGCUGAGAAAUGCUGUGAGGGUAAAAUACACACCACAUUUCAAAGACUUAUCACUUAAAAAAAGAAUAUACAUCGUCUCAUUAAUAUUUUAAAUAUUGAUUAUAUGCUGAUAAAAUAUUUUGGAUAUUUGGG